Long non-coding RNA from Magallana angulata, 415 nucleotides. RefSeq lists it as uncharacterized. The record is from RefSeq and is a predicted model, not a curated record. The transcript has 3 exons. Lineage: Eukaryota; Metazoa; Mollusca; Bivalvia; Ostreida; Ostreidae.
GGUAAUGUUGUAAACUAUCAUAAGACAAUUUAAAGUCAGGAAAAUAUAAAAUUCAAGCCGAGUGUGACGCGGUACAACCAACGAUGCACAGGGCUUGCCUCGAACUGACGUGUCUAAAGUUUACAAGUAUACUCUCGUCGAAAUAUCAGCGCAUCUGGAAUAAAGAGAGAAAGAUGAUCACAGUAGAAAGAUUGAUACUAUAGAUGAAAAUCUGCUGACAAAGCCAUUCAUAACAUGCAGAAGAAGAAUAGUUCAAGUUUCACUUCUCAAAAGUCAGGGAGCAGUUCUCCAGACACCAUGGGAAGACUCAUGAAGGAGCUGGAUUCAGACCAUACAAAGCGUUCCAACAUUGGACACACUUACCUGACUUUAGAGAGGGCUUGGUACAUAUGCGGUGACUCCACCUCUUACACAC